Molecule: long non-coding RNA, 546 nt
Filed under: Nicotiana tabacum (common tobacco)
Lineage: Eukaryota; Viridiplantae; Streptophyta; Magnoliopsida; Solanales; Solanaceae
Description: long non-coding RNA (NTAB_LNC012062)
Source: RNAcentral
CUCAAUUCUAGAGAAAUUACAUUAACCAAAUACACAGAAUCUUCAAUAUUCUGCAAACCCUAAAAAAAUCCCAAUUUCUUUCCAAUUUUUGGAGAGUGAAAUCCUAUUUAGGGAAUGCAGAGAGAUGAUAAGAAAAUCCCCAUUUUCUGAUACCCUUUUAGGAGGCUGUAAGCCCCAAAUUUCCCUCGCCGGCGGCCGGAAUUGCCACCGGAAACACGUCAAUCUUUUUUCUGAAGGUUCUUGAACCCACCCAACCACCCCCCAUAUAUACCCCUCAAUCUUUUUUUGAAAAAACAAACACCCUUUUCAGUCUUGAGUCAGAAAAGUUGCUCAAAAAACAAUCUUUUUUGCAAAACUAACACCCUUUUCAACCUUGUGUUCAAAAAGCAGGUCUUUUUUGCAAAAGCUGACACCCUUUUCAACCUUGUGUUCAAAAAUUAGGUCUUUUUCGCAAAAAAAUAAAUACCCUUUUCAAUAUUUGCUUCAAAAAAGCAAUCUUUUUAGCAAAAACAAACAUCCUUUUCAGUCUUUUUCUAAUGGGGCCAG